GACGAACGCUGGCGGCGUGCUUAACACAUGCAAGUCGAACGGAAAGGCCCUGCUUUUGUGGGGUGCUCGAGUGGCGAACGGGUGAGUAACACGUGAGUAACCUGCCCUUGACUUUGGGAUAACUUCAGGAAACUGGGGCUAAUACCGGAUAGGAGCUCCUGCUGCAUGGUGGGGGUUGGAAAGUUUCGGCGGUUGGGGAUGGACUCGCGGCUUAUCAGCUUGUUGGUGGGGUAGUGGCUUACCAAGGCUUUGACGGGUAGCCGGCCUGAGAGGGUGACCGGCCACAUUGGGACUGAGAUACGGACCAGACUCCUACGGGAGGCAGCAGUGGGGAAUAUUGCACAAUGGGCGGAAGCCUGAUGCAGCAACGCUGCGUGCGGGAUGACGGCCUUCGGGUUGUAAACCGCUUUCGCCGGUGACGAAGCGUGAGUGACGGUAAUGGGUAAAGAAGCACCGGCUAACUACGUG
RNAcentral lists this ribosomal RNA (468 nucleotides) under uncultured bacterium. RNAcentral's name for it is "partial 16S ribosomal RNA". It matches the Rfam family "Bacterial small subunit ribosomal RNA", at positions 28 to 507 of the family's 1533-position model. The record is from RNAcentral.